Molecule: ribosomal RNA, 235 nt
Filed under: Aplanochytrium sp. PBS07
Lineage: Eukaryota; Bigyra; Thraustochytrida; Thraustochytriidae
Description: partial Bacterial large subunit ribosomal RNA
Rfam family: Bacterial large subunit ribosomal RNA
Source: RNAcentral
AGAGCACUGACUGGCCUAGGGCGGUCUACCGUACCAAAGCCUAUCAAACUCCGAAUGCCAAAAAAUCAGAUCAUGGAGUCAGACUUAGAGGGAUAAGCUCCUAAGUCGAAAGGGAAAGAGCCCAGACCGACAGCUAAGGUCCCAAAAUCUGAAUUAAGUGGAAAAGGAUGUGAACCUACUAAGACAACCAGGACGUUGGCUUAGAAGCAGCCAUACAUUUAAAGAAUGCGUAAUA